This 107-nucleotide small nucleolar RNA is filed under the name Oryza punctata. Its description in RNAcentral is "Plant small nucleolar RNA R71". It matches the Rfam family "Plant small nucleolar RNA R71". From Rfam's summary of the family: R71 is a member of the C/D box family of snoRNAs containing the C (UGAUGA) and D (CUGA) box motifs. Multiple nearly identical copies of this snoRNA have been identified in Arabidopsis, and it is thought to function as a 2'-O-ribose methylation guide for 18S ribosomal RNA. The record is from Rfam by way of RNAcentral. Lineage: Eukaryota; Viridiplantae; Streptophyta; Magnoliopsida; Poales; Poaceae.
AUCCCAUGAUGAGGACAGGCGGUGACGUAUUCCUGCAAUCUUUCUCAUGCCUUCGGGAUCAUCUCAUCUCUUGUCUGCUGGAAGCUGGAUAUUCUUCCACGCAGGGC